This 203-nucleotide ribosomal RNA is filed under the name uncultured bacterium. RNAcentral describes it as "partial 16S ribosomal RNA". It matches the Rfam family "Bacterial small subunit ribosomal RNA", at positions 1290 to 1500 of the family's 1533-position model. The record is from RNAcentral.
AGUUCGGACUGGAGUCUGCAACCCGACUCCACGAAGCUGGAUUCGCUAGUAAUCGCGCAUCAGCCACGGCGCGGUGAAUACGUUCCCGGGCCUUGUACACACCGCCCGUCAAGCCAUGGGAGCCGGGGGUACCUGAAGUGCGUAACCGCGAGGAUCGCCCUGGGGUAAAACUGGUGACUGGGGCUAAGUCGUAACAAGGUACC